Molecule: long non-coding RNA, 1599 nt
Organism: Lycium barbarum (goji berry)
Lineage: Eukaryota; Viridiplantae; Streptophyta; Magnoliopsida; Solanales; Solanaceae
Exons: 3
Source: RefSeq, a predicted model, not a curated record
AAAAGAAGUCUUGAGCUAAGAAAGAGAUGACAUGGCCAAAUAAGCAGAUCGGAGUGGCCCUUAGUUGCCCGUGUUGAUGCUUUUGCCGGAGCUUCCACAUCUGAUCCUCUAAUUGAUUCCGACGUAUUUGAGCGAGGAUCUGAGGCUCUUGUGUUUUCCCAAAUGAGUCUCCCACCCAAGGUUUGGCUAAUUCCGAUUUCCCCUGUUUUGGUUGGUUCUCACUGGACUGAUCCUCCUCCACAGUUGUACUGUUGUUGUCUCUGGCUUUGGUCUAAAUUCAGGAUGCACCAUCCAACAACCUUGUAAAUCAUGCCCCUGCAAUCUACAAUUGGUGCAAUAUUUAGGGAGAUAGUCAUUGUUGAUACCCAACUUUGGCCCUCCUUUUUCGUUUAAUUAAUUUCACUAUGCUUCUCAGUCCUGAAAAUUCGCCAGAAUGAGCUUGGAAUAUUUUCAUUAAUUAUUACGCUAUUUUUUGAGAUAUAUUUCUCUAAAGUUAAGAACAUUCUUAUUAUUUCUUAAAAAUUACCAAACACCGUAUUUUUAAUUAUAAAAAUUACUAAACAUCAUUCUUUACAAUUAAAUCACUCAAAAAUAGUGUUGAUAUUCCUGUAUCAAUAUUGGCGUUGGCAUUUUUCCUUUAAUCUUGUUUAUUACUAUGUUAAUCAUCGGUUAUUCUAUUUUAAACUAAAUACGUAUAUUAAAUUAAUCAUAUGUUCAAGUAAAUAUUCUCUUUUUACUUCUUUUUCACAAAAGAAUUAUAAUAAACCAUCGUUAAGGUUAUGGGAUAAUUCUUGUUUGAGUAUAUUUGAGUUGGAAUCUGGACAUAUAUGAAAAAACUUCUUCUCAUCUCAUCCUCAGUUUAUAACUAUAAAAUGUAGUCGUUCGAUUAUUCGGGCUAGUUUUUUUUAGUGUUCUGUACAUUUUCGAGUCUGUUUUUUUUUUUUAAAAUAAAUAAAUAGCAGAUGAUCCAUUAUGGACAUCAGCAUGUGAAAGGCUAAUACAAACUAAGGGCAUUUAGAGGAAUACGACUGAUUCGUUAACUUAUCGAAUACGUGAUAAACCUUUACGCUCUUCUACUUUAUUUUUAUUUUUUUGUUUGUUUCGAGAUGCGCCAGAACCUAUUUUACUUUGUAUACGGUAAAAACCGGAUAUGAGUCAAUCCGGAGAAACUAUGGAUCGGAGGAAGAAAGGGGCCGUUAGUUCGCACGAGGGGCAGCACACCUUUCCGGAUAAGCGCUUUAAUCAAAGCUGAGCAGAGGCGCCAUUUGGCCCGGUCUCUAUGCCACCGAUGGUUCGGGGACUCUUCCUGAGGGUUCGUCACCGUUGAUCCGGACAGCCGUUUGUCCGUGUAUCCGUUGGUCCGUUAUGACCGUUGCUGAAACGCAUCAGUGGUGUCACAUCAUGGUCGGCUACCAACUAUGCGUGUGUCAGACGGCGCCGUCAGUCCAAUCCCACCAAAUCCGUGCACGGGCUGUCCUUUUUAUUGCUAUUUUAUUAAUUCAUAUUGUAUGAGUCCCGUGGGCUCACUGCUAUAAAUAGGAUAUAUCCUCCUCCCUUAAGGGGGUUGACUCUUCUUACUUUCCAAGAACAUUUGUAAUA